CUGACCGUAAACGAUGCCAACUAGCGAUCGGCCGGUGGAUUUUUAGCCCUGGUCGGUAGCUUCCCGGAAACGAAAGUCUUCCGGUUCCGGGGGAAGUAUGGUUGCAAAGCUGAAACUUAAAGGAAUUGACGGAAGGGCACCACCAGGAGUGGAGCCUGCGGCUUAAUUUGACUCAACACGGGGAAACUCACCCGGCCCGGACACCGUAAGGAUUGACAGAUUGAUAGCUCUUUCAUGAUUCGGUGGUUGGUGGUGCAUGGCCGUUCUUAGUUCGUGGAUCGAUUUGUCUGGUUUAUUCCGAUAACGAGCGAGACUCUAGCCUACUAAAUAGUGGCGGGAUUACCUCCGUGUUGUCCCGUCCGCUUCUUAGAGGGAUUUUCGGUGUUUAGCCGCACGAGAUUGAGCAAUAACAGGUCUGUGAUGCCCUUAGAUGUCCGGGGCUGCACGCGCGCUACACUGGCGAAAUCAGCGUGCUUUAUCCAUUCUCGAAGGGAUUGGUAAACCCAUGAAAAUUCGCCGUGCUUGGGAUCGGAAAUUGCAAUUAUUUUCCGUGAACUCGGAAUUCCAAGUAAGUGCGAGUCAUCAACUCGCUCUG
RNAcentral lists this ribosomal RNA (595 nucleotides) under Eucephalobus environmental sample. Its description in RNAcentral is "SSU rRNA". It matches the Rfam family "Eukaryotic small subunit ribosomal RNA", at positions 1026 to 1643 of the family's 1831-position model. Lineage: Eukaryota; Metazoa; Nematoda; Chromadorea; Rhabditida; Cephalobidae. The record is from RNAcentral.